RNAcentral lists this ribosomal RNA (429 nucleotides) under Chloroflexota bacterium. RNAcentral describes it as "Chloroflexi bacterium partial 16S ribosomal RNA". It matches the Rfam family "Bacterial small subunit ribosomal RNA", at positions 355 to 776 of the family's 1533-position model. Lineage: Bacteria; Bacillati; Chloroflexota. The record is from RNAcentral.
UGGGGAAUAUUGCACAAUUGGCGCAAGCCUGAUGCAGCCAUGCCGCGUGUAUGAAGAAGGCCUUCGGGUUGUAAAGUACUUUCAGUCGGGAGGAAGGUGGUAAGGUUAAUAACCUUAUCAAUUGACGUUACCGACAGAAGAAGCACCGGCUAACUCCGUGCCAGCAGCCGCGGUAAUACGGAGGGUGCAAGCGUUAAUCGGAAUUACUGGGCGUAAAGCGCACGCAGGCGGUUGAUUGAGUCAGAUGUGAAAUCCCCGGGCUUAACCCGGGAGUUGCAUCUGAUACUGGUCAGCUAGAGUCUUGUAGAGGGGGGUAGAAUUCCAUGUGUAGCGGUGAAAUGCGUAGAGAUGUGGAGGAAUACCGGUGGCGAAGGCGGCCCCCUGGACAAAGACUGACGCUCAGGUGCGAAAGCGUGGGGAGCAAACAGG